This 21-nucleotide non-coding RNA is filed under the name Caenorhabditis elegans. Lineage: Eukaryota; Metazoa; Nematoda; Chromadorea; Rhabditida; Rhabditidae. The record is from RNAcentral.
UUCCCUAUUCAGGAUACUCUG